UAGAAUCGAACUUUUUUUUUC
This 21-nucleotide non-coding RNA is filed under the name Caenorhabditis elegans. Lineage: Eukaryota; Metazoa; Nematoda; Chromadorea; Rhabditida; Rhabditidae. The record is from RNAcentral.